UAUACAUGCAGUCGAGCGGACAGAAGGGAGCUUGCUCCCGGAUGUUAGCGGCGGACGGGUGAGUAACACGUGGGUAACCUGCCUGUAAGACUGGGAUAACUCCGGGAAACCGGAGCUAAUACCGGAUAGUUCCUUGAACCGCAUGGUUCAAGGAUGAAAGACGGUUUCGGCUGUCACUUACAGAUGGACCCGCGGCGCAUUAGCUAGUUGGUGGGGUAAUGGCUCACCAAGGCGACGAUGCGUAGCCGACCUGAGAGGGUGAUCGGCCACACUGGGACUGAGACACGGCCCAGACUCCUACGGGAGGCAGCAGUAGGGAAUCUUCCGCAAUGGACGAAAGUCUGACGGAGCAACGCCGCGUGAGUGAUGAAGGUUUUCGGAUCGUAAAGCUCUGUUGUUAGGGAAGAACAAGUGCGAGAGUAACUGCUCGCACCUUGACGGUACCUAACCAGAAAGCCACGGCUAACUACGUGCCAGCAGCCGCGGUAAUACGUAGGUGGCAAGCGUUGUCCGGAAUUAUUGGGCGUAAAGGGCUCGCAGGCGGUUUCUUAAGUCUGAUGUGAAAGCCCCCGGCUCAACCGGGGAGGGUCAUUGGAAACUGGGAAACUUGAGUGCAGAAGAGGAGAGUGGAAUUCCACGUGUAGCGGUGAAAUGCGUAGAGAUGUGGAGGAACACCAGUGGCGAAGGCGACUCUCUGGUCUGUAACUGACGCUGAGGAGCGAAAGCGUGGGGAGCGAACAGGAUUAGAUACCCUGGUAGUCCACGCCCGUAACGAUGAGUGCUAAGUGUUAGGGGGUUUCCGCCCCCUUAGUGCUGCAGCUAACGCAUUAAGGCACCUCCGCCUGGGGGAGUACGGUCGCAGACUGAAAACUCAAAGAGUGACGGGGGCCCGCAC
RNAcentral lists this ribosomal RNA (895 nucleotides) under Bacillus safensis. RNAcentral's name for it is "bacterial SSU rRNA". It matches the Rfam family "Bacterial small subunit ribosomal RNA", at positions 50 to 926 of the family's 1533-position model. The record is from RNAcentral. Lineage: Bacteria; Bacillati; Bacillota; Bacilli; Caryophanales; Bacillaceae.